Molecule: long non-coding RNA, 225 nt
Filed under: Carica papaya (papaya)
Lineage: Eukaryota; Viridiplantae; Streptophyta; Magnoliopsida; Brassicales; Caricaceae
Description: long non-coding RNA (CPAP_LNC006288)
Source: RNAcentral
UUUAGGGUCCCCCUUCUCCAAUCAAGGACCAUGAGAUGUAUGCACCUUAAGAUUGUUGAUCGUGUUAAAAAGAGGCUUGCUAGGUGGUAGGUUACCCACUUAUCUAUAGCGGGUCAUGUUACGUUAGCCAAGUCUAUUAUAUUAAUACCCUCUUGUUCGAUACAAAUCAUCUUCCUCCCAUGCAUAUUAAAAAAUAACUCAAUAAAAACCCACUAGGGAAUUCAU